CUACGGGUGGCUGCAGUCGGGAAACUUUUACAAUGCACGCAAGUGUGAUAGAGCAAGCCAGAGUGCGUUUCUAUAACUGAAACGCUUUUAUGUAAUGUAAAAAGUUACAUGAAUAAGGACUGGGUAAGACUGGUGCCAGCCGCCGCGGUAAUACCAGCGGUCCAAGUGGCAGCCGCGUUUAUUGGGUCUAAAACAUCCGUAGCUUGUUUCGUAAGUCUUUUGUGAAAUCCGGCCUCUCAAGGGUCGGGCGUGCAAAAGAUACUGCGUUGCUAGAGACCGGGAGACGUGAAGAGUACGGUUAGGGUAGCGGUUAAAUGCGUUGAUCCUUACUGGACUAACGAUAGCGAAGGCACUUCACGAGAACGGAUCUGACAGUGAGGGAUGAAGGCUAGGGUCGCAAAACGGAUUAGAUACCCUGGUAGUC
Molecule: ribosomal RNA, 424 nt
Filed under: uncultured archaeon
Lineage: Archaea
Description: partial 16S ribosomal RNA
Rfam family: Archaeal small subunit ribosomal RNA
Source: RNAcentral